AAGUCGUAACAAGGUUUCCGUAGGUGAACGGUUUGCCUCCUGGAAGCCCCUGCAGCGACUCGUAAAAGAAUUGCAUUAGUCGCCCUGAUGGGCAGGCAACGCCGUCAGUCUGCGCUGGGAGUCCCCCAUGGGGGUCAACCGGCAGCUCCAGAGCUCUGGAGUCCACAGAUCAAACGAUAGCGGCCACUUUGGUGGUUGAGAUAUGAUCGGCCUCGGCUUUUACCAGCCUAAGAUUUUGCGGAACCUGCGGAAGGAUCAUUACUGAGAGAGGGGCUUCGCGCUCCCGGGGGCUUCGGCCCCCAACUCUUCACCCAUUGUCUACCUACCUUUGUUGCUUUGGCGGGUCCUGGGGACCUCUCGCGCCGGCGCACCCGCCGGCGAGCGCCCGCCAGAGGCCUAUUAAAACCUAUUUUGUCAGUGAUGUCCGAGCGAAAAACAUAAUAAUCAAAACUUUCAACAACGGAUCUCUUGGUUCCAGCAUCGAUGAAGAACGCAGCGAAAUGCGAUAACUAAUGUGAAUUGCAGAAUUCAGUGAAUCAUCGAGUCUUUGAACGCACAUUGCGCCCCUCGGUAUUCCGGGGGGCAUGCCUGUUCGAGCGUCAUUAUACCCCUCAAGCGUAGCUUGGUAUUGGGCCUCGCCCCCGUGGCGUGCCCGAAAAGCAGUGGCGGUCCGGUGCGACUUUAAGCGUAGUAAAAUCAUCCCGCUUUGAAAGAUCGCCCCGUGGCCGGCCAGACAACCCCACAUAUUCCAAUUCAUUGACCUCGGAUC
RNAcentral lists this ribosomal RNA (769 nucleotides) under Cetrariella delisei. RNAcentral describes it as "eukaryotic LSU rRNA". The stretch from base 449 to 602 matches the Rfam family "5.8S ribosomal RNA". The record is from RNAcentral. Lineage: Eukaryota; Fungi; Ascomycota; Lecanoromycetes; Lecanorales; Parmeliaceae.